GUCGAGGGGUAUAUGUCUUCGGAUAUAGAGACCGGCGCACGGGUGCGUAACGCGUAUGCAAUCUGCCUUUCACAGAGGGAUAGCCCAGAGAAAUUUGGAUUAAUACCUCAUAGCAUAAUCAAACCGCAUGGUUUAAUUAUUAAAGUCACAACGGUGAAAGAUGAGCAUGCGUCCCAUUAGCUAGUUGGUAAGGUAACGGCUUACCAAGGCUACGAUGGGUAGGGGUCCUGAGAGGGAGAUCCCCCACACUGGUACUGAGACACGGACCAGACUCCUACGGGAGGCAGCAGUGAGGAAUAUUGGUCAAUGGGCGCAAGCCUGAACCAGCCAUGCCGCGUGCAGGAUGACGGUCCUAUGGAUUGUAAACUGCUUUUGUACGGGAAGAAACACUGAUUCGUGAAUCAGCUUGACGGUACCGUAAGAAUAAGGAUCGGCUAACUCCGUGCCAGCAGCCGCGGUAAUACGGAGGAUCCAAGCGUUAUCCGGAAUCAUUGGGUUUAAAGGGUCCGUAGGCGGUCCUGUAAGUCAGUGGUGAAAGCCCAUCGCUCAACGAUGGAACGGCCAUUGAUACUGCAGGACUUGAAUUAUCAGGAAGCAACUAGAAUAUGUAGUGUAGCGGUGAAAUGCUUAGAGAUUACAUGGAAUACCAAUUGCGAAGGCAGGUUGCUACUGAUGGAUUGACGCUGAUGGACGAAAGCGUGGGUAGCGAACAGGAUUAGAUACCCUGGUAGUCCACGCCGUAAACGAUGGAUACUAGCUGUUGGGGGCAACUUCAGUGGCUAAGCGAAAGUGAUAAGUAUCCCACCUGGGGAGUACGAACGCAAGUUUGAAACUCAAAGGAAUUGACGGGGGCCCGCACAAGC
RNAcentral lists this ribosomal RNA (863 nucleotides) under Flavobacterium ginsengisoli. Its description in RNAcentral is "bacterial SSU rRNA". It matches the Rfam family "Bacterial small subunit ribosomal RNA", at positions 61 to 930 of the family's 1533-position model. Lineage: Bacteria; Pseudomonadati; Bacteroidota; Flavobacteriia; Flavobacteriales; Flavobacteriaceae. The record is from RNAcentral.